GAGGAGUUAAGUUAAUGAAAACUAAUUGCCUUCAAAGCUAUUAAUAUUGGUUCAAAUCCAAUACUCCUCG
Molecule: transfer RNA, 70 nt
Filed under: Cassiopea xamachana
Lineage: Eukaryota; Metazoa; Cnidaria; Scyphozoa; Rhizostomeae; Cassiopeidae
Description: tRNA-Trp
Rfam family: tRNA
About the family: Transfer RNA (tRNA) molecules are approximately 80 nucleotides in length. Their secondary structure includes four short double-helical elements and three loops (D, anti-codon, and T loops).
Source: RNAcentral